This 392-nucleotide unclassified non-coding RNA is filed under the name soil metagenome. Its description in RNAcentral is "partial contains 5.8S ribosomal RNA, internal transcribed spacer 2, and large subunit ribosomal RNA". The stretch from base 1 to 122 matches the Rfam family "5.8S ribosomal RNA", at positions 35 to 154 of the family's 154-position model. The record is from RNAcentral.
GAUGAAGAACGUAGCGAAAUGCGAUACUUGGUGUGAAUUGCAGAAUCCCGUGAACCAUCGAGUCUUUGAACGCAAGUUGCGCCCGAAGCCACUAGGCCGAGGGCACGCCUGCCUGGGCGUCACACGUCGUUGCCCCCCACCAUCUACUCCUUCGGGAUUGCGGGGGGCGGAUGAUGGCCUCCCGUGCGCCUAGCCGCGCGGUUGGCAUAAAUACCAAGUCCUCGGCGACGCACGCCACGACAAUCGGUGGUUGCGAAACCUCGGUUGCCCGUCGUGUGCGUUCGUCGCGCAUCGAGGGCUCGAAAAAAUACUCGGCUCCGGCUCGGCUUUCAACGCGACCCCAGGUCAGGCGGGGUUACCCGCUGAAUUUAAGCAUAUCAAUAAGCGGAGGA